Molecule: RNA transcript, 2713 nt
Organism: Acinonyx jubatus (cheetah)
Lineage: Eukaryota; Metazoa; Chordata; Mammalia; Carnivora; Felidae
Exons: 4
Source: RefSeq, a predicted model, not a curated record
CCUGCGGAGCCAGGAUGAGUCGGCAAAACGCCGCAGUGCGCGGCUGCCCCGGCCCCGUGGGAGCCUUUGCCGGGAUGGCCAGGGAGGUGAUACUAAUACCGACAGGAGCCAAAGGACGAAAGCUGGCGCCGGCAGACACUCUUUCCGCACUCUUUGCGUGUGUAUUAACUUAUUUAAACCUCCAAACAACCCCGCCAGAUAGGUGUGGCCAUUAUCCCCCUUCUACAGAGAAGUAGACUGAGGCGCGGCGAGCUUUAAAUGAUUUGCCCGAGGUCGUGGAGCCAGUUAACGUGGCCGAGCCCGGGUUCAGCUCCAGGCUGCCCCUCCAGAUUGCAUUUUGUGCUUCACUGCUGGCUGCCUCUGUGCAGCCAAAGUAAGUGUCACGAGGAGCCUUCUGGAAUGCUGCUGACAAUGUGUGGGCACUGCCCCAGACACGCGGACUGUCUCAUCGCAUCCUCGCUGCACCACUACGAUGCAGGCGUUGAGGCCAGAAUUAUUGCACUGCUUUUCCAAGGCGACCUGCACAGAGAAGAGCACCGUGUCACUUCUGCGAUGUUCCUGCCAAAGACGCAAAACCUAAAUCUGAUCAGGAGGAGCGACUGGACGAACUCCAAGUGAGGAAACUUCUACGAAAUAACUGGCCUGUAAUCUUGGGAGACACAGAAUCCGAAGCAGCUCCAGGCUCUGAGCUGUCAGCACAGAGCCUGACGCCGGGCUCGCGCUCACAAACUGCGAGAUCAUGACCCGAGCUGAACUCGGACGCUUAACCAACUGAGCCACCCACGUGCCCCUUACCUCCAUAUUUUUUAAAAAGCAAGGUGCAGAACAGCUUCUUUAAAAAAAAAAAGGGAUGGAAAUCUGGACACAGACACACAAGGAGGACGCCGUGUGGCAAUGGAGGCUGAGACUGGAGAGCGGGGCCUACAGGUCGACGAGGAUGCGGGCCAACUCCUGCAAGGAGCUGGGAAGCAUCCGAGCACUGCCCUGCUGACACCUUAAUAUUGAACUUGCAGCCGCAGAACCGGGAGAGAAUAGGUUUUUGUUGCCUUAAACCACCCGGUUUGUGGGUGUUUGUAACUUCAGCCUUGGGAAACUAUAUACACAGUAAGCCAGUCAACACCCAAGACAAUUAUGGGUAGUGACAAACACUUCGGUAAAAUAAAACAAAACACGGAAACAGGGCAUGUGACGGGGAGCAGCGCCACCUUAGCCCCAGGGGUCAGGGAAGGCCUCUUGGAGGAGGUGAUGUUUCAGCGGAGGUGCUGGGGGCAGGUGGGAGGCUUGGCCGGGUCAAACAGCUACGAUGCAGGCCUGACAAUGGCGGACACCUUGUUGGGGUCUUUGGGGGAAGGUCCCGGGAGUGACCAGGAAGGGACUGUCCUGUCUCAGAGCCUGCUGCGUGGCUGAUGCGGGUCACCCAUCGUCCUGGGCCGGCUGGCAGCCAAUGGAGGAGGCCAGCUUCACAGCUGACACUCUGCGCUGUAAUUGUGAUUAACUAUCGGGCCCUCUUCCCUGCUCAGGCCCGAGGCCGCGGUGUGACAGCUGCAGAGUGAAGCAAUGAGGCCAGGAAGGGGUUAAUGGGCUGUCCCUCCAUCUGAGCCCUUCACACAAUGAGGGGAGGUGGGGAGGCUUCUGGUGGGGGUGUGUGUGGCAUCAGCUGGGGUGAGUGAAUGGAAGGGACAGAGGCCUUGUCCCCGGGGACAGGGCGAGGACUCUAUGGGGAGAGGGGUCAGAACCCUCCCCCCUGCUGUUAUUUUCAUCCGUCCCUCUCCCCCCCCCCGCCCUCCCCCCACCAGCCAGAGUGUCCCAGAAGACUGCCCUCUGGGUUCCAAAGUGGGCAGCGUCCUCAGCCUCAUGGAAUUCUGAAGCCUGAAAGCCACAGAAAUGCAGAAUCGUGAAAUGUCACCGCCAAGGGGGACCUCACUUAUUCCUGCCGUGUUCAAACUUUGUUUGCUUAAUUAUUAGCAGUGGAACCCAGAGCCCCCACCCCCACCUCCUUUUCUCCCCCAAAUAAGUAAACAGCGUGUUGAUUACAUGGAGGGCGGCCUGGAUGCCAGCCGAAAUCAUUCGUCCCCAGUGCUGCCGCUUCCAACCGGGGCACACUGGGGCAGCCAUGACAGACGUCUCCGUUAUGCGACCCCCGUCACCCCUGUCUGCAGCCUUUUGAGUCUGGCUUCCUUCACUCGGCAGGAGGCAUUUGGGCUUCAGCCGCGUUACAUUUAUCAGAAGUCUGUUCGUUUUUAUUGCCACCCCGUAGUCCAGCCAGCGGUUGCACAGCACCUUCUUUAUCAUUCACCAGUUGAAAGGCACUUGGGUCAUUUCCAGCUUUUGGUGAUUGCAAAUAAUGCCGCCGUGAAUGUGGGCACACAGGUCGUCGCGCAGACGGAAGGUUUCGUUUUUCUCGGGUAGAGAUCUAGCAGUGGAGUCACUGGGUCCCAGCCUAAGUAUAUUUACAAUGCUACAAGGAACCGAUGAACUUUUCCAAAGAGGCGGCGCCCUUUCGCAUUCCCGCCAGCACCUGGGAUUGUCAGGUCAAGAGAAAGUGUAGGUCGAGUGCAUGAGUGGGUAAUGAUCACGGGGUUAUUGUGAGGAUUAAGUGAGCGCGUUGCCCAGAGAAGGAGGCCUCUCACGAUAAUAGGUUCUCCCCGGAACUGUCAGCUCCUUCUUUUGUUAUCACCGCGGGGAAGCCGGGACAUAAUGGGAGCUAGGGAAC